This 424-nucleotide ribosomal RNA is filed under the name Fusobacteriota bacterium. RNAcentral's name for it is "Fusobacteria bacterium partial 16S ribosomal RNA". It matches the Rfam family "Bacterial small subunit ribosomal RNA", at positions 355 to 776 of the family's 1533-position model. Lineage: Bacteria; Fusobacteriati; Fusobacteriota. The record is from RNAcentral.
UGAGGAAUAUUGGUCAAUGGGCGAGAGCCUGAACCAGCCAAGUAGCGUGCAGGAUGACGGCCCUAUGGGUUGUAAACUGCUUUUAUGUGGGGAUAAAGUGCGUGACGUGUCAUGCAUUGCAGGUACCACAUGAAUAAGGACCGGCUAAUUCCGUGCCAGCAGCCGCGGUAAUACGGAAGGUCCGGGCGUUAUCCGGAUUUAUUGGGUUUAAAGGGAGCGUAGGCUGUCUAUUAAGCGUGUUGUGAAAUUUACCGGCUCAACCGGUGGCUUGCAGCGCGAACUGGUCGACUUGAGUAUGCAGGAAGUAGGCGGAAUUCAUGGUGUAGCGGUGUAAUGCUUAGAUAUCAUGACGAACUCCGAUUGCGCAGGCAGCUUACUGUAGCAUAACUGACGCUGAUGCUCGAAAGUGCGGGUAUCAAACAGG